Long non-coding RNA from Brassica rapa (field mustard), 1919 nucleotides. RefSeq lists it as uncharacterized. The record is from RefSeq and is a predicted model, not a curated record. NCBI's taxonomy places the organism in Eukaryota, Viridiplantae, Streptophyta, Magnoliopsida, Brassicales, Brassicaceae.
AUGGAUCUUGACAGCUCAACAAAGAUAUAAAAUGAAAAAAGCUAAUGGGAACAAAAAUUUGUGAAUUUACAUUUUGCAACGUAUGAUAUAAGGCAAUAACACAUGAAAGAAGAUAAAAAUGAAGAGCAAAGGAAAGAUGAAGAGCAAAUAAGAGUUUAUAAAUCAUUUAUAAAAGUUUGUAAAACAAUUUGUAAAGUUUAUAAUCUUUUUAUAAAGGUUUACAAAUUAUUUGUAAGAGUCUAUAAACUAUCUAUAAAGGCUUAUAAAAUAAUUCAUAAAGUAUAUAAACUAUUUAUAAAUGUUUAUUACAAAAAUUAUAAAAUUUUAUAAAUCAUUUAUAAGGGGUAUGUAUAUAAUUUAUAAGGUUUAUAGAGGUAUAUACAGGUUUAGAAAUCAAUUGGAGAUCUUAAAUCAAUUAUAAGAGUCUAUAACCAUUUAGAAAAGCUUAUUAAACAAGUUAUAAAAGUUAAUAAAAUAAUUUUCUAGGGUUAAUAAAGUUAUGUAAAUAAUUUAUAAGAGUUUAUAAAAUAUUUAUAAAAAGAAUUUAUAUGAAUAUGUUCUAAACAACCGACUUCGUCAACUCUUUAAUGUUGUUCAAUUCAGUCUUAGAAUGUGUGUGAGUUUCUCUCUACAACAUUAAUCAUGCAGUUAUUUACUAAAAGUUAAAUUUGUUCCAAUUUUUUUAGACCUUUAUAAAAUAUAAAUCUGGAUUUUUGUAUAUUGUUAAAAGUACAACUCGACGAUUUAUAAGUCUUUACAAAAAAAAUUUUUAAAUAAGAGUUCAAGUAAUUUUAGGAUUUGCUUCCUUCUGUUAUCCAAAAAGCAAAUAAGGCUUUGUUGGACACUGCAUUUUUACAGAAUUAUAAUUCUGGAUUUAGGAUAUUGUUAAAAGUACAACUUGACGAUUUAUAAGUCUUUAUAAAGAAGUUUUUAAACAAGAGUUGAUCGCAUAUGUCUAUAAAAACAUAUAAAUGUGUGAACUUGAGAAGUCUUGUGAGGAAUACUAGGCAGAAUAAGUAUAAAGAACUUUUUUUUUGGUCAAAGUAUAAGAACUCAAAAAUGAUUUAUAAAUGUUUAUAAAUUGAUUUAUAAUGGCUUACAAGUUAAUUUUUCUAAAGUCCCUCAAAAACACAAUCAACACAAAAAGGCAUAUCUGGUGAAAGACCCACGUCCUUCAGCAAGGGAUAUACUGCCUCAACCCUCUCUGUAGACUGUACAGAGACCAUGCUUGUGAUCAGAAUCAAACAAGCUCAUUUCAUGGUUUAGUUUUAUAAAUACUACUACUUAUCUUAACUCCUGUGGAUGGAGAAGAGAAUGUGAGAAGCACCAAGAUCUCAAAUGAAGGAAGUGGAAUCAGCGGCUCGUCUUCCCUAAGAGCUCCAUCUACAAGUAUGGUCUGAGCCCUUGGACGCGACAACAUCCUAAUUAAGAGAUGUCUGAAGAAGAUGAGAGAGAAGAAUGUAUUAACAAGCCAACUCUGCAACUUUGAUAUAAGGGUAUAAAAUUUAAUAUAUUUUAUAAGGCCUUGUAAAUUUUAAUGUAUAAAGCUUAAAAUAAUAGUUUCUAAAUAAUUUGUUUACAGAUUACAUCGCCUAUAAAUAAUUAUUCGCAAGAGAUGAUUAAAACAUUUAUAUGCAUUAUCUAUGGAUUCAUAAACAAUAAUGUAUUAAAAUUUAUUAAAAAUCACUUAUAAACCUUCGUAAAAUUCAGAUAUACUAGUUUAUAAAGUAUUAUAUAAACUCAGAGAUGAAAUUUAAACACAAAAAAUGAUAUGUAAAGGCUGAUAAAUAACUUAUAACCCCUUAUAUAUCUUAUAAUAAGAUUUUAGAAAGCAUUAUGAAAAUUAAUGAUAAAAAGUUUAAAAAGUAAAAUCAGUGAUAUAAAUACAUGAAGAUGCUUGUUACUAAUUUUCUUAAAAA